Molecule: non-coding RNA, 947 nt
Organism: Zootermopsis nevadensis
Lineage: Eukaryota; Metazoa; Arthropoda; Insecta; Blattodea; Termopsidae
Source: RefSeq, a predicted model, not a curated record
UAAGUUCGUAUUGUGAUGAAUGUGUUACAUCACUUAAAAUGGCUGUAGUUGAGGCCAAGGAAGAAUGGUGCUGUUGCUGAUUUUCCGCCAGGAAACGUGAAAUUUGCAGAUGUUUAUGGGCGUGGAAGAUCUUCCGAAAAUCCUCUACACUCUAGUUGGGGUAAACAACACUCUUCUGGUGAUUGAGAUGAAGCAGUUAAAGAGUUGACAGCAGUGCCACGUCAACAGUUGUAUUGGCAUUGAUAUCGAAAGUAUCUUCACUGCCCUCAUCUGUGAGAGAGAGGGAGCAGAAUGAGGAAGAUUUCUGGUAAUGGUGCUUGGAAAAAGAGACUUCCGAGGUUUUUAACAACAGGCUUUCAUUCUGGACUCAGGCAACAUUGUGAAUGAUGGAGAUUAUCGGCAGUCAACCAAAUAGUUCACAAUGCUUUCACUGUUUUGUGGGAGGAGCUACUUGAUAAAUUCGUGCCAGGUCCAAACAGUUGGAAAGAAUGGCAAAAUAAUUCUAUAGAUGCCAAAAGCACUUUUCUGUUGGAGCUGCUGAUGCUAAGAAAAGAUUGAUCACCAUUGUGGUAGAGGCAGGAGGAAAGCAGAGGGGCAGAGGAACUUUGUCAAGAGCAGAAUAUCGUGGAGCGCGUAGAGGAUUGGCCCAAGAUGAAGAUAUCAAGGAAAAAUUUGCUAGCUGUAUUUCAUAAGUAAUUUAUCAUGGGUUAAUACUUAAAAAUGGGUUCAAAAUAUCUUAUAUAAUGAGGAUAAUCAUAGGAGAAAAUGUGUAUACAUUGUGCCCUGAUAUAAAUAAAGUUUCUCACAAUUAUGUAAACAGACCAGAUAUUUUGCAUAAGUAUUGCAUUUUUAUAUUUUGUAUUCCUUUGACAGAAGAAAGUGGCAUCUAUAUACCUCCACAUGUACUUCAAAUAUAUGUUCAUAAUAAAGGUAUAACUACAACUGAA